RNAcentral lists this ribosomal RNA (509 nucleotides) under uncultured Planctomycetota bacterium. Its description in RNAcentral is "bacterial SSU rRNA". It matches the Rfam family "Bacterial small subunit ribosomal RNA", at positions 355 to 864 of the family's 1533-position model. The record is from RNAcentral. Lineage: Bacteria; Pseudomonadati; Planctomycetota.
UCGAGAAUCUUCGGCAAUGGGCGCAAGCCUGACCGAGCGACACCGCGUGCGGGAUGAAGGCCUUCGGGUUGUAAACCGCUGUCGUAGGGGAGGAAGAGUCUGCGAAGAGCAGAAUCGGACCGAUCCUAGGAGGAAGGGCCGGCUAAUCUCGUGCCAGCAGCCGCGGUAAUACGAGAGGCCCAAACGUUAUUCGGAUUUACUGGGCUUAAAGAGUUCGUAGGCGGCUUGGAAAGUGGGGUGUGAAAGCCCUCGGCUCAACCGAGGAAUUGCGCUCCAAACUACCGAGCUUGAGGAAGCUAGAGGUGAGCAGAACUGAUGGUGGAGCGGUGAAAUGCGUUGAUAUCAUCAGGAAUACCGGAGGCGAAGGCGGCACACUGGGACUUUUCUGACGCUGAGGAACGAAAGCUAGGGGAGCAAACGGGAUUAGAUACCCCGGUAGUCCUAGCCGUAAACGGUGAGCACUGGACCGGGGGCCUGCACAGGCCCUCGGUCGUAGCGAAAGUGUUAAG